GUGGGGAAUUUUGGACAAUGGGCGCAAGCCUGAUCCAGCAAUGCCGCGUGCAGGAAGAAGGCCUUCGGGUUGUAAACUGCUUUUGUACGGAACGAAACGGUCCGGGUUAAUACCCUGGGCUAAUGACGGUACCGUAAGAAUAAGCACCGGCUAACUACGUGCCAGCAGCCGCGGUAAUACGUAGGGUGCAAGCGUUAAUCGGAAUUACUGGGCGUAAAGCGUGCGCAGGCGGUUUUGUAAGACAGGAGUGAAAUCCCCGGGCUCAACCUGGGAAUUGCGCUUGUGACUGCAAGGCUGGAGUGCGGCAGAGGGGGAUGGAAUUCCGCGUGUAGCAGUGAAAUGCGUAGAUAUGCGAAGGAACACCGAUGGCGAAGGCAAUCCCCUGGGCCUGCACUGACGCUCAUGCACGAAAGCGUGGGGAGCAAACAGGAUUAGAAACCCUUGUAGUCC
RNAcentral lists this ribosomal RNA (450 nucleotides) under uncultured bacterium. Its description in RNAcentral is "bacterial SSU rRNA". It matches the Rfam family "Bacterial small subunit ribosomal RNA", at positions 354 to 796 of the family's 1533-position model. The record is from RNAcentral.